CCUACGUGUGGCAGCAGUGAGGAAUAUUGGUCAAUGGGCGCGAGCCUGAACCAGCCAAGUAGCGUGAAGGAUGACUGCCCUACGGGUUGUAAACUUCUUUUAUAAAGGAAUAAAGUGAGGCACGUGUGCCUUUUUGUAUGUACUUUAUGAAUAAGGAUCGGCUAACUCCGUUCCAGCAGCCGCGGUAAUACGGAGGAUCCGAGCGUUAUCCGGAUUUUUUGGGUUUAAAGGGAGCGUGGAUGGGUUGUUAAGUCAGUUGUGAAAGUUUGCGGCUCAACCGUAAAAUUGCAAUUGAUACUGGCAGUCUAGAGUACAGUUGAGGUAGGCGGAAUUCGUGGUGUAGCGGUGAAAUGCUUAGAUAUCACGAAGAACUCCGAUUGCGAAGGCAGCUUACUAAACUGCCACUGACAUUGAUGCUCGAAAGUGUGGGUAUCAAACAGGAAUAGAUACCCUGGUAGUC
Molecule: ribosomal RNA, 460 nt
Filed under: uncultured bacterium
Lineage: Bacteria
Description: partial 16S ribosomal RNA
Rfam family: Bacterial small subunit ribosomal RNA
Source: RNAcentral